RNAcentral lists this ribosomal RNA (492 nucleotides) under uncultured bacterium. RNAcentral's name for it is "partial 16S ribosomal RNA". It matches the Rfam family "Bacterial small subunit ribosomal RNA", at positions 29 to 507 of the family's 1533-position model. The record is from RNAcentral.
AGUGAACGCUGGCGGUAGGCCUAACACAUGCAAGUCGAACGGCAGCACAGUAAGAGCUUGCUCUUACGGGAGGCGAGUGGCGGACGGGUGAAGAAUACAUCGGAAUCUACUUUUUCGUGGGGGAUAACGUAGGGAAACUUACGCUAAUACCGCAUACGACCUACGGGUGAAAGCAGGGGAUCUUCGGACCUUGCGCGUUUGAAUGAGCCGAUGUCGGAUUAGCUAGUUGGCGGGGUAAAGGCCCACCAAGGCGACGAUCCGUAGCUGGUCUGAGAGGAUGAUCAGCCACACUGGAACUGAGACACGGUCCAGACUCCUACGAGAGGCAGCAGUGGGGAAUAUUGGACAAUGGGCGCAAGCCUGAUCCAGCCAUACCGCGUGGGUGAAGAAGGCCUUCGGGUUGUAAAGCCCUUUUGUUGGGAAAGAAAAGCAGCAGGUUAAUACCCCGCUGUUCUGACGGUACCCAAAGAAUAAGCACCGGCUAACUUCGUG